GACGAACGCUGGCGGCGUGCUUAACACAUGCAAGUCGAACGGAAAGGCCCUGCUUUUGUGGGGUGCUCGAGUGGCGAACGGGUGAGUAACACGUGAGUAACCUGCCCUUGACUUUGGGAUAACUUCAGGAAACUGGGGCUAAUACCGGAUAGGAGCUCCUGCUGCAUGGUGGGGGUGGGAAAGUUUCGGCGGUUGGGGAUGGACUCGCGGCUUAUCAGCUUGUUGGUGGGGUAGUGGCUUACCAAGGCUUUGACGGGUAGCCGGCCUGGGAGGGUGACCGGCCACAUUGGGACUGCGGUACGGCCCAGACUCCUACGGGAGGCAGCAGUGGGGAAUAUUGCACAACGGGCGGAAGCCUGAUGCAGAAACGCCGCGUGCGGGAUGACGGCCUGCGGGUUGAAAAACGCUUUCGCCUGUGACGAAGCGUGAGUGACGGUAAUGGGUAAAGAAGCACCGGCUAACUACGUG
This 468-nucleotide ribosomal RNA is filed under the name uncultured bacterium. RNAcentral describes it as "partial 16S ribosomal RNA". It matches the Rfam family "Bacterial small subunit ribosomal RNA", at positions 28 to 507 of the family's 1533-position model. The record is from RNAcentral.